Molecule: ribosomal RNA, 586 nt
Filed under: uncultured bacterium
Lineage: Bacteria
Description: bacterial SSU rRNA
Rfam family: Bacterial small subunit ribosomal RNA
Source: RNAcentral
CCUACGGGAGGCAGCAGUGGGGAAUAUUGGACAAUGGGCGCAAGCCUGAUCCAGCCAUACCGCGUGUGUGAAGAAGGCCUUCGGGUUGUAAAGCACUUUAAGUAAGGAAGAAAAGUAUAUUGUUAAUACCAAUGUACCGUGACAUUACUUACAGAAUAAGGACCGGCUAAUUCCGUGCCAGCAGCCGCGGUAAUACGGAAGGUCCAAGCGUUAAUCGGAAUUACUGGGCGUAAAGCGCGCGUAGGUGGUUUAUUAAGUUGGGUGUGAAAGCCCCGGGCUCAACCUGGGAACUGCAUCCAAAACUGAUUCACUAGAGUACGAAAGAGGGAGGUAGAAUUCACAGUGUAGCGGUGGAAUGCGUAGAUAUUGUGAAGAAUACCAAUGGCGAAGGCAGCCUCCUGGUUCUGUACUGACACUGAGGUGCGAAAGCGUGGGUAGCGAACAGGAUUAGAUACCCUGGUAGUCCACGCCGUAAACGAUGACAACCAGCUGUUGGGAAGCAAUGCUUUUCAGUGGCGCAGCUAACGUCUUAAGUUGUCCGCCUGGGGAGUACGGCCGCAAGGUUAAAACUCAAAUGAAUUGACGG